CCCCGGCUGGAGGGAGCGAGGACGCCGGCGGGGCGGAGGCCGAGGAGGGCAGCGUGGUGCUGGAGGGGGAGUUCAGCAUGGCCGACUGCACCCCCCUCAGCCUGGCAGAGCCAGGCCUCCUACAGUACCUGAACCCCGCGACGGAGCUGGUGCUGUGGACCCCCCCGGGUAGCCAGGUGCCCCACUCCAUCCGGACCCUCAUGCUGCCCCCCAGCGCCCUAGCUGACCCCCCGCUGCUCUCCCCAGGCCGGGGGCAGGGGGUGCGGCCGGAGGAGAUGGAGCUGUGAUGCAGGACCAUUCCCCAUCCCAGCGGGGGAGACGCUGGGUAUGGACUCACCCCAGACAGACCCACAGGGGCUGGACGCACCCUGUCGCCAGCGCAGCGAGCUUCCCCGCAGCAGUGCCCCGAGCUGGGGCGUCCCCACCACUGCGACCACAAGAUGAACUGUACUGAAGUUUGUGCGUCUCGCCCGCUGCCCGGGAGUCAAUAAAGGAGGAGAGAGCCCUGA
Caretta caretta (loggerhead turtle) is the source of this 509-nucleotide non-coding RNA. Lineage: Eukaryota; Metazoa; Chordata; Testudines; Cheloniidae. The record is from RefSeq and is a predicted model, not a curated record.